UUUAAAUAUUAAUAUAAAUUUGAUUGAGUCUCUAUAAUUUGAAAAACACAAUUAUAUAAUUUUUAUAUUUUCUAUACCUUAAUUUAUUUAGUCCCGUUAAAGUAAUAUAUUUAAUCUAGCAAAAGUAAAGGAUUUAUGCUUUUAAUGCUUUUGCCGACAUGCAUUCCAGUGGCUUUACUUGCACUGGUUAUGGACUUUCCAAUUUUGUUGCCACUAUCUUUCAUAUAGGCAAUUCCUCAUUCUUACUCAGAAGCUUCAAUGAUGGAUGAACGUUGACAUCACGUAAUAGACCCUUUCUCCAAUAUCUAGGUUGCUCACAUACACCUCAAAUUUUGGAGGAAUGUGUUCAGCUGGACAAAGA
RNAcentral lists this unclassified non-coding RNA (361 nucleotides) under Hevea brasiliensis (rubber tree). Lineage: Eukaryota; Viridiplantae; Streptophyta; Magnoliopsida; Malpighiales; Euphorbiaceae. The record is from RNAcentral.